AGUUGAUUAGGUCAACCAGCGGGUUUGCAUGGCUGAAGAGACUGUAACUGUGGUUGAGGAUAUCUGAGGAGAUUCGAAUCCAAUAAAAUUGUCUAGUUGGAGUCUUCAGGAGGCAAGUCUAGAAUAUGAGCAUAUCUAAGAAAACUGAUAAAUCUGUGGUUAUGCUGAAUUAUUUUUCCAUUUGCUAUUAGCAUGGAUAAUCAAGAAUAGACUAUCAUAGGCCAAGCAUGGUGGCUCAUGCCUGUAAUCCCAGCACUUUGGGAGGCUGACGUGGGCAGAUUACCUGAGGCCAGGAGUUCGAGACCAGCCUGGCCAAUAUAGCAAAACCCCAU
Molecule: long non-coding RNA, 332 nt
Filed under: Homo sapiens (human)
Lineage: Eukaryota; Metazoa; Chordata; Mammalia; Primates; Hominidae
Description: HSALNT0185958
Source: RNAcentral